Molecule: long non-coding RNA, 255 nt
Organism: Psammomys obesus (fat sand rat)
Lineage: Eukaryota; Metazoa; Chordata; Mammalia; Rodentia; Muridae
Exons: 3
Source: RefSeq, a predicted model, not a curated record
UUGAUGUAGAUGAGAGCACUGCUUUCUCAUGGCCUGUGUGUGACCGGUGUGGCAAUGAGAGAUUGGAACAGAAGCCAGAAGAUGGAGGCUCCUUCUCCUGUGGGGACUGUUCCCAACUAGUCAUGUCACCUCUUCAAAAGAGGCAACUGCACGUCUUUCUGCAUUGUCCCAUGAGGCCCAAGAGUACCGUGAAGGUCAAGCUGUUGGAGAGAAGUAUUUCCUCACUGCUGAUGUCUGCUACCUCCAAGGAUGGGG